AGGACGAACGCUGGCGGCGUGCUUAACACAUGCAAGUCGAGCGGAAAGGCCCCUUCGGGGUACUCGAGCGGCGAACGGGUGAGUAACACGUGAGCAACCUGCCCUUAGCUCCGGGAUAGCUCCGGGAACCGGAAUUAAUACCGGAUACGACCACAGCCGACAUCUGCUGUGGUGGAAAGGAUUCCGGCUAAGGAUGGGCUCGCGGCCUAUCAGCUAGUUGGUGGAGUAACGGCCCACCAAGGCGACGACGGGUA
RNAcentral lists this ribosomal RNA (254 nucleotides) under uncultured bacterium. RNAcentral describes it as "partial small subunit ribosomal RNA". It matches the Rfam family "Bacterial small subunit ribosomal RNA", at positions 26 to 285 of the family's 1533-position model. The record is from RNAcentral.